UGAGGAAUAUUGGUCAAUGGGCGAGAGCCUGAACCAGCCAUCCCGCGUGCAGGAUGACGGCCCUAUGGGUUGUAAACUGCUUUUCUGCUCCAAGAAACCUGAUUACGAGUAAUCAGUUGACGGUAGAGUAGGAAUAAGCAUCGGCUAACUCCGUGCCAGCAGCCGCGGUAAUACGGAGGAUGCAAGCGUUAUCCGGAUUCAUUGGGUUUAAAGGGUGCGCAGGUUGGAAUGUAAGUCAGUGGUGAAAUACUGCCGCUUAACGGUAGAACUGCCAUUGAUACUGCGUUUCUUGAGUAUGGUUGAGGUAGGUGGAAUGUGUUGUGUAGCGGUGAAAUGCAUAGAUAUGACACAGAACGCCGAUUGCGAAGGCAGCUUACUAAGCCAUUACUGACGCUGAGGC
This 400-nucleotide ribosomal RNA is filed under the name uncultured bacterium. Its description in RNAcentral is "bacterial SSU rRNA". It matches the Rfam family "Bacterial small subunit ribosomal RNA", at positions 355 to 752 of the family's 1533-position model. The record is from RNAcentral.